Molecule: ribosomal RNA, 492 nt
Filed under: uncultured bacterium
Lineage: Bacteria
Description: partial 16S ribosomal RNA
Rfam family: Bacterial small subunit ribosomal RNA
Source: RNAcentral
AGUGAGCGCUGGCGGUAGGCCUAACACAUGCAAGUCGAACGGCAGCACAGUAAGAGCUUGCUCUUACGGGUGGCGAGUGGCGGACGGGUGAGGAAUACAUCGGAAUCUACUUUUUCGUGGGGGAUAACGUAGGGAAACUUACGCUAAUACCGCAUACGACCUACGGGUGAAAGCAGGGGAUCUUCGGACCUUGCGCGAUUGAAUGAGCCGAUGUCGGAUUAGCUAGUUGGCGGGGUAAAGGCCCACCAAGGCGACGAUCCGUAGCUGGUCUGAGAGGAUGAUCAGCCACACUGGAACUGAGACACGGUCCAGACUCCUACGGGAGGCAGCAGUAGGGAAUAUUGGACAAUGGGCGCAAGCCUGAUCCAGCCAUACCGCGUAGGUGAAGAAGGCCUUCGGGUUGUAAAGCCCUUUUGUUGGGAAAGAAAAGCAGCAGGUUAAUACCCCGCUGUUCUGACGGUACCCAAAGAAUAAGCACCGGCUAACUUCGUG